GCCGGGCAUGGUGUUGCAUGCCUGUAAUCCCAGCUACUCGGAGGCUGAGGCAGGAGAAUCGCUUGAGCCCAGGAGGCAGAGGUUGCAGUGAGCCGAGAUCACAUCAUUGCACUCCAGCUUGGGCAACAAGAGCGAAACUCUGUCUCAA
RNAcentral lists this non-coding RNA (148 nucleotides) under Nomascus leucogenys (northern white-cheeked gibbon). The record is from Rfam by way of RNAcentral. Lineage: Eukaryota; Metazoa; Chordata; Mammalia; Primates; Hylobatidae.